Molecule: ribosomal RNA, 254 nt
Filed under: uncultured bacterium
Lineage: Bacteria
Description: partial 16S ribosomal RNA
Rfam family: Bacterial small subunit ribosomal RNA
Source: RNAcentral
CACGUAGGGUGCGAGCGUUGUCCGGAAUUAUUGGGCGUAAAGAGCUCGUAGGCGGUGUGUCGCGUCGGCCGUGAAAACCUGCAGCUUAACUGUGGGCUUGCGGUCGAUACGGGCAGGCUGGAGUUCGGUAGGGGAGACUGGGAAUUCCUGGUGUAGCGGUGAAAUGCGCAGAUAUCAGGAGGAACACCGGUGGCGAAGGCGGGUCUCUGGGCCGAUACUGACGCUGAGGAGCGAAAGCGUGGGGAGCGAACAGG